GAUGAACGCUGGCGGCGUGCUUAACACAUGCAAGUCGAACGGACCGCGCAAGCGGUUAGUGGCAGACGGGUGCGUAACACGUAGGUGACCUGCCCUCGAGUGGGGAAUAACGCGACUAACGUCGCGCUAAUACCGCAUAAGUUUGCUCCUUCGGUGGAGCAAGUAAAGCAGCAAUGCGCUUGGGGAUGGGCCUGCGGCGGAUUAGGUAGUUGGUGGGGUAACGGCCUACCAAGCCGAUGAUCCGUAGGGGGCGUGAGAGCGUGGCCCCCCACAUUGGCACUGAGACACGGGCCAAACUCCUACGGGAGGCAGCAGUGAGGAAUAUUGCACAAUGGGCGCAAGCCUGAUCCAGCAAUGCCGCGUGCAGGAUGAAGGCCUUCGGGUUGUAAACUGCUUUUGUACGGAACGAAACGGUGAGCUCUAAUAAAGCUUGCUAAUGACGGUACCGUAAGAAUAAGCACCGGCUAACUACGUG
RNAcentral lists this ribosomal RNA (475 nucleotides) under uncultured bacterium. Its description in RNAcentral is "bacterial SSU rRNA". It matches the Rfam family "Bacterial small subunit ribosomal RNA", at positions 28 to 507 of the family's 1533-position model. The record is from RNAcentral.